UCUAUCCCAGAGUUCACUGCGAGUUCGAGAAGCAAGCGUUCGGUUCCGUCACUCUCUCUCUUCUGCAAAUGGCGGCUAGGCUUGCGUCUAACGGUAAUCAGUCUGGUUUAGAAAACAAUAGUGAUCAAGGUAAAUUGGAAGAUAUCCAAAUGAAGAGUGAACCGGUCGACAUGGAAACGAAUCAAGCUGAUAGCGUAAAAGCGGGCGAAUAUGUGCGCGAACUACUUAAAGAAAAAAUGGCUUUGGAUCCGGCGCAGUACCCCAAUGCAAUGCGGCUUGUUGACCAAGAAGUACAAAAAGCUCAAGUGCAGGGGGCCAAACUUCCCAGAGAAAAUCGCUAUGUUGAUAUCUACAGAGAAAAGCCCAUCAGGGUCGCAGUUAAAGUUCUUGUACCUGUCAAAGAACACCCUAAGUUCAAUUUUGUUGGGAAACUCUUGGGACCCAAAGGAAACUCACUCAAACGACUCCAAGAAGACACCAUGACAAAAAUGGCCAUUUUGGGCAGAGGCUCAAUGAGGGACAAGCAAAAGGAAGAAGAGUUCCGACAAGCCCUGGACCCCAAGUACGCUCACCUCAGUGACGACCUACAUGUAGAGAUAGCAGCACUGGCCCCACCGGCGGAGGCACACGCUAGGAUCGCAUACGCUCUAGCUGAGAUCCGCAAGUACCUAGUCCCCGACAGCAACGACGAAAUCAGGCAGGAGCAGAUGCGCGAGAUCCAAGCGUACUCAGGUCCCCCACCAGUGGAGCGAGGGGGUGCGCCGGUGAGAGGACGGGGCAGAGUACCACCUCCACCACCACCAGGCCCCCGUGGCGGACCUCCCAUGGGUCUGAGGAUGGCUGCCCCCCGCCCCGCACCCCCACUGCUACCCAGGCCACUGCCAGCCAAGACCAAGGUUCUGAGUAUACUGGACCGGGCGAGACAGGCUAUGGAGGAAAGCUACGGUGGCUACGAUGACAUGGGCCCUGACAUGGGCGGCCCUGCAUCAGGCUUCUACGACUCUCCUUCACCUGGCUUCAACUCAGGACCCGGUUACGGUGGUGACUACAAUGGAGGCUCUGCAGGAGAUUAUUAUGACACAGCCAACUACACUGAUGAUAUCGGACUAGACUCUUUCUGGGAGAAUCGGUAUUUGUGAAAUAAGAAGAACCCGAGAGCAUCUCUAAUGAGGAGGGGCUGUGUCUUGGGGUGUUCUAUGGAGCUCAGACAGAGGUGCUAUCAUCUCAACCUGUUCAAGUAAACCAACCAACCAUCACUUUUAAAUCAUGCUUAACAUUUCAAUAGUGUUUAUAACUUUAAAUGUAUCCUAGGUGCCAAAUGAAUGUUGGUGAAGUGGUCAGACAUUUUGGUAAUAAUUUGACAACGAAUUAGAUGUAAUUGUUCCUUAGUACAGUAAAAGCUCAUCUGGGUCCAAAUUUGGAACAAUAAAUACGUUUGGUCGAGCCUCGUUUUGUUUACAUUUAAUUGUAAGCUGUACAAUUGAUAAAAGAAUUACCGAAGUACACUGUUGAAAUUUUAUUGAAAAGAAUUUUCAACAUACAAUUUUUUUAUCUAUUUUAUCACUUACAUUUCUUUGCAAUAGUUCUUCAACUCUAAAAUCUACACUUCUGCAAUCUGAAAAAUAAUUGAUAAUGCCUCUGGUGUUAGUAUUGUUAGACAAAAGGCCUUCUGUUAAGCAAUGUCAGUACUGAGCUUUAAGCAUUGUAUAACAUCUGUUUUAUGUUGAAUGUGCUAUUAAUUAAGUGUAUUGUAGAUGGGAGCUCCAGUCAUUGUUACAUUGAGUCCAGAGCUUAACAUAACUUGCUCUACUAAAUCCACUAUUUCCUAUUAGUUUGUGUUCCAAUCAAUGUGGCGUAUCCUAUCUAAAACUGUUUAGAUAAAUCCAUUCAGUAUGCUGCCUUGAAACACUUGCUUCUUAAAAACCAAACAAAAUGUCUGUCCACUAAAAAAUUUCAAUAGUAAAUGUUAAAGUUCAAUUAAAGUUUAAACUAUUAAUGUUGACCCCCAAAAUAAGUGUUAGGUACUUUCAUAACUUUUUUAUCAUAAUCAUUACGAUAUAAUCUUUUUUAUAUGACAGGUUAUUUCUUCUUUGCGAAAAUCGAUUUUUCAGAUGUAAGAGGGAAAUUUGUUGUUUUAUAUUUUUAUUGAAAACUCCUUUCAAUGGGCAAAAGUUUUUGACUUGUCUAUAUGCUGCUUGCGAAAUAUAUUUUCUUGUUGUAAUGUUCUGUUAAACAUUUAGGAUUUGUUUAUAUGUUGUUGUGUAUUGAUAGUUUUUAAAUUAUAAAGUAUACAAUUGUGGUGAUAUACAUAAAAGAUGUUAAUCCACUUUGCUUUACGUAACAACUUUCAAUAAUUUUAAGGUAUAUAAUAUACUAGACCCUUUUUGUUGUCAGUUUCUUUAGUCAAGGAAAUUUGUUAGCGUGUGAUAAAAUUUUUAUAGUAUGUUAAAUAUUUACAUUUUCUAGUCUUUAAAAAUAUAAGCUGUUUAAGUAUAACUUUAUGAGUGUUUCCUAAAGGAUAGAAAUAACACUUGUUUUCCAGUUAUACAAUUUAAUUGUAGGAUUAAUUAAGUUAGAUCUUUGUGAUUCUACUGUGAUACUACAGUGUUUAUUUUUAUUGUCACACCUAAACAUAUAGUGUAAUUUUGUUAAAAUUUUUACUGUUUUUUUAUUUAUUUUUCCCUAAAUACAGUAUUAAUUAAAGUUUUUGGUGUGAAUGUUGACAUUUUCUCUGUAGCUUUUAUAUGUGCAUGCAAGCACACGGUCUUACUAAAUGCACAAAGUAACUUAAAUCCCAGUAUUGUGUAUAUGAUAUUUAUAUAAAAUCGGAAUAAUUUUAUUCAUAGAUGUAGUGUAGUAAGUUAUUUUCAAUGCUUCAAAUCAUAAAAUAUCAGUAUUAUAUGUGCCAAUUUUACCAUAAAAUACUUUCAAACUUAUGAAAUACAUUGUAUACAUCGCUAUACGUUAACUAGUGCAUAGCAUUAUGCUUUUGUUUCACAAAAAGUUGUUACCUAUAUUUUUUAUCAAUUUUUGUCUUUGUUUUAGUCCUUAUUGUUUUCAUCCCGUUUUGUGGGACUAGCGACUGAAAGUAAAGAAUGCAUUUCAUUCUUCUGAGACUUAUUUAUUUCUAAGGAAGAAGCAAAGAAGAAAUAAUGGUAAAUGUAACCAAACCAAACCACCAAUGAAGGAUGUAUAUAGUAAACGACCAAGAGGGACCAUGGCUAAAGAGGUUCUAAAGUAAACAAUGUAAAUCUAGCACCUGAUGCUCUCUUCCAUUUAUUCGUGUUUUCUAAGGCCUACUUUGUUAGUGACUUUUAUCAAUAAAAUAUUGUGUUUGCAAAA
Molecule: RNA transcript, 3342 nt
Organism: Macrosteles quadrilineatus (aster leafhopper)
Lineage: Eukaryota; Metazoa; Arthropoda; Insecta; Hemiptera; Cicadellidae
Gene name: KH domain-containing, RNA-binding, signal transduction-associated protein 2-like
Exons: 7
Source: RefSeq, a predicted model, not a curated record